AUUGAACGCUGGCGGCAUGCUUUACACAUGCAAGUCGAACGGUAACAGGCCGCAAGGUGCUGACGAGUGGCGAACGGGUGAGUAAUGCAUCGGAACGUGCCCAGUCGUGGGGGAUAACGCAGCGAAAGUUGCGCUAAUACCGCAUACGAUCUAUGGAUGAAAGCGGGGGACCGUAAGGCCUCGCGCGAUUGGAGCGGCCGAUGUCAGAUUAGGUAGUUGGGGGGGUAAAGGCUCACCAAGCCGACGAUCUGUAGCUGGUCUGAGAGGACGACCAGCCAAACUGGGACUAAGACACGGCCCAGACUCAUACGGGAGGCAGCAGUGGGGAAUUUUGGACAAUGGGCGCAAGGCUGAGCCAGCAAUGCCGCGUGCAGGAAGAGGGCCUUCGGGUUGUAAACUGCUUUUGUACGGAACGAAACGGUCCUGGUUAAUACCCGGGGCUAAUGACGGUACCGUAAGAAUAAGCACCGGCUAACUACGUGCCAGCAGCCGCCGUAA
This 498-nucleotide ribosomal RNA is filed under the name uncultured bacterium. RNAcentral describes it as "partial 16S ribosomal RNA". It matches the Rfam family "Bacterial small subunit ribosomal RNA", at positions 29 to 523 of the family's 1533-position model. The record is from RNAcentral.